Molecule: unclassified non-coding RNA, 240 nt
Filed under: Hevea brasiliensis (rubber tree)
Lineage: Eukaryota; Viridiplantae; Streptophyta; Magnoliopsida; Malpighiales; Euphorbiaceae
Source: RNAcentral
UACAAAAGAAUUUUUAUGGUUAGGAUCUUCAUGGACAUGCCAGAAAAGACGAAAACAUUAUCAGUCUUUUCAACGGAAUGGCAUCAAAAUUUCUGUGAGUGCUUCUGGGGAUUGCUAUUUGUUUUGUAGCCCAUGUAUCUUUUAUGUACUGUUACUUACUCCAUGCAUUUUUGCCUGCUUCUUUUUAACAUCCUUCUAGGUAUAUUACUUUGUGUUUGUCUUAGCUGAGGAGGAUAAAAG